UGGGGGUCGAAUGCUGCGUAUUUAGCCUAGCAUGCUCUACAGUCUGGCAACAAAAGCGGCUUUGGGAUCUUUCUGAAACAGCUUUAUCGCUGCUGACACCAUUCGUGUCUGUUCGCGCGCGCGACUCGCACAAGAGCGACUGAAAUGAACCUGAGCGACGAGGCAACUUUGUUCUUACAUCUCUUGGAGCAGUUCACCGCGUUGUGGGACAUAAAUCUCACCGAUUACGCGGACACGAGAGCGUAACAACACCUCUUUCGAUGAAACAAGUACUCGUCAUCAUCCAAUUAGGACAAAACAAGAGCCAUUGCGGCCAACCGUCGUUUCCUUUCGAUCUCCAUUUUCAUUCUGAGUGAAAAACACACGGAGGAAGGAAACUAAGGAGAGGCCCUGACGUCACUCUUUGUGAAGCAAAAGUGAAGCCGGAAUUUGGCGUUGCUCAUGGCGAUGCUCCGCCUUUUGGGCCACCCUCCUCUCUUGUUUACAUCUUUCGCGAAACCACGCCGCGCUGCGCGUGGUGUCGCGCGCGCUCGCGCAACAUCUGGCAGAGCACGGUGCAAGUAACACAGCGCAACAAGACACGGUGACUAACGCAAACCCGCCCACUCAGCGCCUUUGCCACGGCCCGAAACCUACCAGAGCAACACGUGAGAGCGCUCAAAACCAUAACAACGCCGCCAUUGUGGCCCAAAAGGCGUGGCCACGGAGGAAGGAAACUAAGGAGAGGCCCUACCCCCUCCGCGCGCUAGGAGAAAAGUGUGGCGGAAAUGACGUAGUAGGUUCUCAUUUUCUUGCUGCUUUUUUAUUUUUUUUUUGUUGUAUGGCCACGCCUUUUGGGCCACAAUGGCGGCGUUGUUAUGGUUUUGAGCGCUCACACGUGUUGCUCUGGUUGGUUUCGGGCCGUGGCAAAGGCGCUGAGCGGGCGGGUUUGCGUUAGUCACCGUGUCUUGUUGCGCUGUGUUACCUGCACCGUGCUCUGCCAGAUGUUGCGCGUGCGCGCGCGCUCCGCGCGCGACACCACGCGCAGCGCGGCGUGGUUUCGCGAAAGAUGUAAACAAGAGAGGAGGGUGGCCCAAAAGGCGGAGCAUCGCCAUGAGCAACGCCAAAUUCCGGCUUCACUUUUGCUUCACAAGGAGUGACGUCAGGGCCUCUCCUUAGUUUCCUUCCUCCGUGGGCGUGGCCAUACAACAAAAAAAAUAAAAAAGCAGCAAAAAAAUGAGAACCUACUACGUCAUUUCCGCCACACUUUUCUCCUAGCGCGCGGAGGGGGUAGGGCCUCUCCUUAGUUUCCUUCCUCCGUGGAAAAACACGUAUGACAAAGUCUUUGUUACACCGAUGGCGCCAUCUAGAGUCAGUAGAAACAAGCAAUCAUUUUAACUUACGGCCACUGAGAUCCACCCGGGCCGCGGCAACGUCUUCGAGGCCAUGUUCAGCCAAUACAGCCACUCAAAGCCUACACGCCGAGAAUCUGAGUAUGCGUCCGCGGAACAGAUUGGCGCGGAGCCGUCCGUCGUGUGGAUACACCAUUAUUACAGCGCGGCCGCGCGGGCGCCCUAUCUUGAAAGCGAUCUGCGACGUGGCCAAAGCAACUGAUGGAGUCCAAGCAGAAGCAAAGGGCCAGCACUAAGUUUUUGACAAAGGAAAGGUGCUGGCUGUCCGACAUUCACAGAGGGCUACUGAAUGUGUACGGAGAUGACGCCAACAAAAGUAGCGUGUAGAGAUGGAUGAAAAACUUUAAUGAAGGGGAAACGAGCGCGGAAGACUAACCUCGUAGUGGGAGACCGUCAACCGUGACACGAAUCGUCAUCAGCGAGUGUACAAAUUGAUUCGUGCACACCUAAAUUUUUUCACGGAUCAUUCGCGGAUUGGGCUCGACGUUGGCGCGAAUACACCUCUUGUGAUGGAGAUUAUAUUUAGUAUAUUUGUAUUGAGAAAGAGUUGAUCUGCAUGCAUGUAAAAAUUAAACGCAUGUCAGUUAACAAAAAAAGUUAUGCCAACUUUUGCACUACUUUCUGGCACAAGCUCCCCAACGAGUUCCUACAUAAAUAAUUUGUAAGCACCUGCCUCGGAUUGUUUUUGCUUAAACCCCGCUUGAAAACCGGCCAUGAAAGGAUUACUUUUUUCAAGGCUUGACGAUUUGGUCGAUUAACUAGCGAGUAAGUCAUUAGUGGUCCAGUAGCAGUUAACUAUUCAACCAACUUCUUCGGUUCAAACGCAGAUGAAAAUCAGCAGAGCGUGCCAUCCGAUAAUAUAGCAAUUAAUGUUGCGUGGUUGCGAUCACAGA
Long non-coding RNA from Dermacentor andersoni, 2284 nucleotides. RefSeq lists it as uncharacterized. The record is from RefSeq and is a predicted model, not a curated record. Lineage: Eukaryota; Metazoa; Arthropoda; Arachnida; Ixodida; Ixodidae.